UACGGAGAGUGCAAGCAUUAAUCGGAAUUAUUGGGCGUAAAGGGCGCGUAGGCGGAAUCGUAAGUCAGAUGUGAAAUUCCGAAGCUCAACUUCGGAGCUGCAUUUGAAACUACGGAUCUUGAGGAUUGACGGAGAAAACGGAAUUCCACGUGUAGCGGUGAAAUGCGUAGAUAUGUGGAAGAACACCUGUGGCGAAAGCGGUUUUCUAGUUUAUACCUGACGCUGAGGCGCGAGAGCAAGGGGAGCAAACAGG
RNAcentral lists this ribosomal RNA (253 nucleotides) under uncultured bacterium. RNAcentral's name for it is "partial 16S ribosomal RNA". It matches the Rfam family "Bacterial small subunit ribosomal RNA", at positions 524 to 776 of the family's 1533-position model. The record is from RNAcentral.